GGAGUUGUGUCCGAGUGGUUUAAGGUACCGGUUUGCUAAACCGGCGAGUUUCAUCAGGGACUCCGAUGGUUCGAAUCCAUCCGGCCCCG
Molecule: transfer RNA, 89 nt
Filed under: Treponema bryantii
Lineage: Bacteria; Pseudomonadati; Spirochaetota; Spirochaetia; Treponematales; Treponemataceae
Description: tRNA_Ser_GCT
Rfam family: tRNA
About the family: Transfer RNA (tRNA) molecules are approximately 80 nucleotides in length.
Source: RNAcentral